AAUCAACAAAAUUUUCAUAAAUUGAAAUAAAAAAUUUGUAUACACAAAUAUGAAUAAAAAUUGCAUGCCAGGUCUAUUGCUAUUAAAAUUAAAAAAAAAUGAAUUUAACAAACGAAACAUACUCUCAAAACAUCUCGAUGUUCCAAUGCGGUCCAGGCUUGGACCAUUUUCAUCAGGAGUAUGUGAAAAUGCACGGAUGGUUAAGUUUGCUAGUUUGCAUCUUCGGUUCAAUCGCCAAUACCUUGAAUAUAAUGGUCUUGACACGUCGUGAAAUGAUUUCUCCGACAAAUUACAUUCUAACUGGAUUGGCUGUAGCCGACUUGCUAGUAAUGUUGGAGUACAUCCCUUACGCAAGUCAUAUGUACUUGUACCACAGGCCCAGAAAAGACAUGUACACGUACGGUUGGGCUGUAUUUGUGCUAGUUCAUUCUAUUUUCACCCAAAUAUUUCACACAAUAUCCAUCGGGCUGACAGUAACAUUGGCAAUUUGGAGAUUCAUUGCAGUAGCUUACCCUCGGAGAAAUAACGAAUGGUGUAGCAUUAAAAGAACAGUAUUAACUAUAUUAGGAACUUAUUUAAUUUGCCCGUUAAUUUGUCUCCCGGUUUAUUUUACUACUAAAGUCAGAUCCACUCAAGAGUUGUUCGAAAAUGAUAAUUUAACCAAUUCAAGUUUGUACAAUUCGACUGAAUUAAAAGUUAAUCAGACUUUGUGGUUCGUUGACUUGAGUGACACGAUGAAGGCCAAUAGUCUGCUUAAUUUACUAAAUUUUUGCAUGUACAGUGUUGUGAUCAAACUUAUACCUUGUAUCGCUCUGACCAUUUUGAGUCUUCGGCUGAUCAAGGCGCUUAUGGAUACCAAAAAAAGAAGAAAGCUCCUGAUAAACGCGACUUUAGUGAGAAAAACUGACGACAAAGUGCGCGAUAGCUCGUGUGACGUUAAAAAAAGUAAAAAAAAAUCAGCUAAAGCUAUAGACAAACAAAGACAAACUGACAGAACUACCAAGAUGCUAUUAGCUGUAUUACUUCUCUUUUUACUUACGGAGUUUCCACAGGGAGUACUUGGCUUACUUAGCGUUAUAUUGGGUUCUGGUUUUUUUCGUACAUGUUAUGUUAAGCUCGGCGAAAUGAUGGACGUAUUAGCUCUAAUAAAUUCAGCGAUAAACUUUAUCCUCUACUGUGCAAUGAGUCGUCAAUUUCGAAUGACCUUUAGCCAAUUAUUCUGCCGAUGGAAGUUGUUUGGAAGAUGGACGCCUGUUCCGCAGCGGCUGGAGAACAAUGGUCACACCGCAACUACUCACACGAUGACCCAAGUUACCCAGAACGUGGAAACGUCGAACACCCAAAGAGGGGCAAUGAGGUCGACUUAAAAUGUAGUGAAUAAUUGAUCAGCACUUAGAUUGGUAGGAGAAAUUUUUUUCCCCCGACGGAAAUGACUAAAGUGCUCAGAAGAAACUCGUACUGAGAAGAAAUCCUUUACUUCUAUACCUAUCGUUGAGUGACUUCGUCAGCGAAUGUUGAAAGACACUCAUGGGAGUUAUUUAGGGAACAAAUGGAUCGGGCUCCCCUACAUGUUCUUGUCACAGAACUUGACGUAAGAAAAAAAUAUAAUAUACGUGUAGUCAUUUGAUGUCUUUAUUUUCAUUAAUUUUGCUUUUUAUUUUUUUUUUGUU
Molecule: unclassified non-coding RNA, 1670 nt
Filed under: Cotesia glomerata
Lineage: Eukaryota; Metazoa; Arthropoda; Insecta; Hymenoptera; Braconidae
Description: g-protein coupled receptor dmsr-1-like, transcript variant X3
Source: RNAcentral